UAGCUAGUUGGUAAGGUGACGGCUUACCAAGGCAAUGAUGCAUAGCCGAGUUGAGAGACUGAUCGGCCACAUUGGGACUGAGACACGGCCCAAACUCCUACGGGAGGCAGCAGUAGGGAAUCUUCCACAAUGGACGAAAGUCUGAUGGAGCAACGCCGCGUGAGUGAAGAAGGGUUUCGGCUCGUAAAGCUCUGUUGGUAGUGAAGAAAGAUAGAGGUAGUAACUGGCCUUUAUUUGACGGUAAUUACUUAGAAAGUCACGGCUAACUACGUGCCAGCAGCCGCGGUAAUACGUAGGCGGCAAGCGUUGUCCGGAUUUAUUGGGCGUAAAGCGAGUGCAGGCGGUUCAAUAAGUCUGAUGUGAAAGCCUUCGGCUCAACCGGAGAAUUGCAUCAGAAACUGUUGAACUUGAGUGCAGAAGAGGAGAGUGGAACUCCAUGUGUAGCGGUGGAAUGCGUAGAUAUAUGGAAGAACACCAGUGGCGAAGGCGGCUCUCUGGUCUGCAACUGACGCUGAGGCUCGAAAGCAUGGGUAGCGAACAGGAUUAGAUACCCUGGUAGUCCAUGCCGUAAACGAUGAGUGCUAAGUGUUGGGAGGUUUCCGCCUCUCAGUGCUGCAGCUAACGCAU
Molecule: ribosomal RNA, 627 nt
Filed under: uncultured bacterium
Lineage: Bacteria
Description: bacterial SSU rRNA
Rfam family: Bacterial small subunit ribosomal RNA
Source: RNAcentral